GCAUGUGUGGAAGAUUGCUGAAUACAUGUGUGGUCAUCAUUUCUUUAACAGGCAGCAGUUCUAACAGUUCUGAUGAUUAGAUGUUUUUGUUCUUGCUAUCUCCUGCUUGGAGGCUGCCACGUUAUCUAGGGCAGAGCAAAGCAUUUCUUUAUUGGAAGCAAAUGUAUGAUAAUUAUGAUCACAAUUAUUCCUACACUAGGUUUGACUCGUGUGUCAGCUGCACGCUAUCCAUGAUGACGAGUUUUUUGUCUUUGAUACACUGGUCACAAGCCAGUGGCAAGGCACAUGUAGACAAACACCCAUUCACACUCACACCUAUAGAUAUAGACAAUUUAGAGGCCUCAAUGAACCAAAAAUACAUGUUUUUGGAAGAUGUGAGGAAGCUGAAAUCCCAAAAGAAAAUGCACACAAGCAUGAAAUGAACAUGCAAACUCCACACAGGAAGGCUAGAGCCCAGAUUCAAACACCCAACCAUGGGGCAGAUGUGGUGUUCAAACACGACCAGAGCUAAUGUAACAAACAUUAGAAUAACACCAUGUAGGGGAGAGCAAGGUCUGACCACUUGGUGCAGCCUAUCACAGGUAUAAAACUCAAGACGUGGUGACCACAUCCAGCCCGCCAUAUCAUUUUAUAUGGACCGCGAAUGCAAAUCAUUUGUGUCUAGUUAUCCAUCAAUAUGUUGUGGAAAUAUAAUGCAUUUUGUUUUAUCAUAAAGUUGCAGUCUGGUGUGAUUUCUUUUCCCGGUAAAUGUGUUGCUUACUGUUUGUAUAUUAUGUUGAUAUUGUGAUUAUUUACCUUUUUAAAGAAAAUGUAAAUUAUUCUUUAAUCUUUUAUCUCUUCUCGCACUUCACUUUGUGAAAGGAAAAGCCUGGCCCCUUGCAUCCUCCCGAUUUUCAUCGAUAAUGACGGUUAGAAGAAGUACAGCCAGUGACAGGAAAGGAUGGAGCAACCUGAUGCGAUUGUCAGCCUCCAGCUAGCCAGUCGAGCGUGUAGUCAGUCCUGUGUGUGUCUCAUUUUUAGUCCCAGUUUGUCGCGAAGUCACAAAUGGAGCGAGACAAUAACCAAGACACAUUUGCUAACCCGAGCGAGCCACAACACGACCCGGGUCGAAAAUCUUCAUCGGUGGCCUCAGCAGGAAUACUUCACCAGACAGUCUUAAAGAUUAUUUUAAUACAUUUGGUGAAAUCAGAGAAUGUAUGGUAAUGAGAGACCAACAACAAAAUGCUCCAGUUCAUGGUAUAUCCUGCGUCCUGCCCAAUGACAGCUGGCAUAGGCUCCAACACCCCCGUGACCUUCGUGAGGAUAAGCGGCUAAGAAAAUGGAUGGAUGGGAUUUGGCUUCAUCACUUUUGCAGAUUCUGCCAGCGUAGAUAAUGUGUUGGCACAGCCACAUCAUAAGAUGGACUCUAAAAUGAUUGACCCAAAAGUUGCCUUUCCUAGACAUAAACUAAGCAGAUGCCACCACGUGUUUUCAAUGGCGAAUGUCCCAGUGUGACGUGUGCUGAUGACCUUGCAGGCAAUAUGGCUACCACUUGGAUGUCGAGUGAAACUUCCGCAACUUUGCACACGCUCUCCGUUCAUAUUUAUUUUUUUGUAUAGACAUUGAAGUGAAUUAUGUUAUAUGUAUUUUUCAUUACAAUAUCAAUUUUAGAAUGUUUAAAGGCAUGUCAGUGGCCCUUUAACAAUGAACCCUCUGCAUUCAGGGAUUUCUAUUUCAUAAAAUGUAACAUUUAAAUCACAGAUGUCAAACUCGGGGGGGCCAGAUGCGGCCCGACACAGGAUUUUAUGGAGCAAAUCACGUGUAUCAACUUCCAUGAUUUUUGUGUUAUCAAACAUCAACAAUAGUUGAAAAACCCAUUGCCCUUAAUUUUGAUAAAUUUUAUAUGGAAAUAUGAUGGGUCAAAUAAAGAUAUUCAUGGUUUCAGUCAAAAUGGCCUUCUGACAGAAACCGUAACUACAAUGUGGCCCGUGAUAGAAAUAAAUUUGACACCCCUGAAAUGAGGCAGGGUUAGGGUUUCCUAAAUUUUACACACACACAAAAAAAAAAAUGUCUUGUCUCUUUUUGUCUCAUUGCCUGUUACACCCCGCUGGCCCAACGUCUUCUUCCUCUUCUUCUUCAUCUGAGGAAGGGACAUUCAAGUCAACACAUUGUUGCCCUCUACAGGGUGCCAAUCUUCAUCGCAGUUAUCCAGUGGCUUGACGAUCAUACAUUAACUACACAAGAACACCCCCCCAACCUCCUCUCCUACCACAUCCUUAAUAAUAAAUGCCAUUGACGUCUUUAGAUGGUAUUGGCAAGGAAUUGAUGGAUUCUUAUUGACAUCUUUUGAAGGCUUUGGCAUGUAACAUGGUAAAAUUAAUUAAUUAAUGUUUCAGCUAAAAGUUAAAUAUAGUGUUGCUAAAAUCGUUAUUUAGGACUAUUUAAUCACAUCAAACACUUUUAUGGGCAAGUUUUUUGUAGCCUUUUACAGUGGUACCUCGACUUACGAAAUUAAUCCUUCCUGGAAGUCGUUUCGUAACCUACAUUUUUUGUAAGUAGAAGUUUUUCGUGUCCCAUCUCAAUAUCUUGAACAAAGUGAACUUUAAUGGGAAAACUGCAGAUGUCUGCACUGAUGGAGCUGCAGCCAUGGACAGAUGCACCAAAGGCUUUGUAAGUAGAGUGAAAGAAAGAGACCACAAUGUGGUUAUUACACACUGCUUUUUACGCUGUGAAGACCUCGUAGCCAAGACCUUACCAGCAGACCUAGUUCCUCUGUUGGAUGAUGCUGUGGGCAUGGUGAACUUUGUAAAAUCAUGACCUGUGAAAAGUCCAAUAUUUGCAUCUUUAUGUAAGGAAAUGGGUGUAGAACAUAAAGCCUUCUUGUUUCAUACAGAGGUAUGGUGGUUGUCUGGUGCCAAAUUAUUGGCCUGUGUUUAUGAACUGCUGGUGGAAACAAAAGUGUUUCUGACAAAUGAGAGGUAUGCUUACGUAAAACUGCUUGCCACUGAAGAGUGGUGUGCAAACUUGGCAUACCAUUUUUCAUCAUCUGAAUGAAUUGAAUAUAUGUAUCCAAGGCUGAAAUGAAGACCUGCUCACAGGCACAAAUAAAUGGAUUUCAUUCAAAGCUGCAACUCUUGAAACAUUGUGGAAAAUGGAAAUCUUGAAAUGUUCAUACUCACCAAAAUAUCAACACAAAUAAUAGUGAAACAUUUAAAAACAUUUGUGGAGAAGAUGUCAAUUUAUUUUUCUUCAGCCUCCAUUCAAUACUUUGACUGGGUGAGGGACCCAUAGACUCUAUCAUUGGUUGGUGGGAGGGACGUGACUUUACAGGAACUGGAGGAACUAACUGAACUGAGUCAAGAUUGUAGUUUAAAGUUAGGCUUUGCUGAUGUACCUUUGGACAGAAUUUGGUUUGCUACUGCCAAAGAGUUACAGAUUUGUUCAAACAAAGCUAUUAUGGCAUUGCUCCUUUUUUCCACAACAUAUCUCUUUGAGGUGGGUGAGGUUUUCGCAGGCUAACAACUAUAAAAAGUAACAAGAGAGAUACUGAGAGCUGUUGAGGAAAAGCUUUGUGUAUGUCUUUGACCAAUUUCUGCCAGAAUAUCAGAUCUGUGUUCUUAAAAACUG
Syngnathoides biaculeatus (alligator pipefish) is the source of this 3606-nucleotide long non-coding RNA. RefSeq lists it as uncharacterized. The transcript is spliced from 7 exons. Lineage: Eukaryota; Metazoa; Chordata; Actinopteri; Syngnathiformes; Syngnathidae. The record is from RefSeq and is a predicted model, not a curated record.